This 492-nucleotide ribosomal RNA is filed under the name uncultured bacterium. RNAcentral describes it as "partial 16S ribosomal RNA". It matches the Rfam family "Bacterial small subunit ribosomal RNA", at positions 29 to 507 of the family's 1533-position model. The record is from RNAcentral.
AGUGAACGCUGGCGGUAGGCCUAACACAUGCAAGUCGAACGGCAGCACAGUAAGAGCUUGCUCUUACGGGUGGCGAGUGGCGGACGGGUGAGGAAUACAUCGGAAUCUACUUUUUCGUGGGGGAUAACGUAGGGAAACUUACGCUAAUACCGCAUACGACCUACGGGUGAAAGCAGGGGAUCUUCGUACCUUGCGCGAUUGAAUGAGCCGAUGUCGGAUUAGCUAGUUGGCGGGGUAAAGGCCCACCAAGGCGACGAUCCGUAGCUGGUCUGAGAGGAUGAUCAGCCACACUGGAACUGAGACACGGUCCAGACUCCUAAGGGAGGCAGCAGUGGGGAAUAUUAGACAAUGGGCGCAAGCCUGAUCCAGCCAUACCGCGUGGGUGAAGAAGGACUUCGGGUUGUAAAGCCCUUUUGUUGGGAAAGAAAAGCAGCAGGUUAAUACCCCGCUGUUCUGACGGUACCCAAAGAAUAAGCACCGGCUAACUUCGUG